CUGAUUAGUUAGUUGGCGUGAUAAAGGCACACCAAGACGAUGAUCAGUAGCCGAGCUGAGAGGCUGAUCGGCCACAUUGGGACUGAGACACGGCCCAGACUCCUACGGGAGGCAGCAGUUGGGAAUAUUGGACAAUGGAGGAAACUCUGAUCCAGUGACGUCGCGUGAAGGAAGAAGGUCUUCGGAUUGUAAACUUAUUUUAUCAGGGAAAAAACAAAUGAUGGUACCUGAAGAAAAAGCACCGGCAAACUACGUGCCAGCAGCCGCGGUAAUACGUAGGGUGCAAGCGUUAUCCGGAUUUACUGGGUAUAAAGGGUGAGUAGACGGCAAUGCAAGUCAGCUGUGAAACCUUGGAGCUCAACUCCAAGCCUGCAGCUGAAACUGUAUAGCUAGAGUACAGGAGAGGAAAGCGGAAUUCCUAGUGUAGCGGUGAAAUGCGUAGAUAUUAGGAAGAACACCAGUGGCGAAGGC
RNAcentral lists this ribosomal RNA (471 nucleotides) under uncultured Clostridia bacterium. RNAcentral describes it as "bacterial SSU rRNA". It matches the Rfam family "Bacterial small subunit ribosomal RNA", at positions 237 to 722 of the family's 1533-position model. The record is from RNAcentral. Lineage: Bacteria; Bacillati; Bacillota; Clostridia.